UGGGGAAUUUUGGACAAUGGGCGCAAGCCUGAUCCAGCCGUGCCGCGUGCGGGAAGAAGGCCUUCGGGUUGUAAACCGCUUUUGUCAGGGAAGAAAUCUUCUGAGUUAAUACCUCGGGAGGAUGACGGUACCUGAAGAAUAAGCACCGGCUAACUACGUGCCAGCAGCCGCGGUAAUACGUAGGGUGCAAGCGUUAAUCGGAAUUACUGGGCGUAAAGCGUGCGCAGGCGGUUUUGUAAGACAGAGGUGAAAUCCCCGGGCUCAACCUGGGAACUGCCUUUGUGACUGCAAGGCUUGAGUGCGGCAGAGGGGGAUGGAAUUCCGCGUGUAGCAGUGAAAUGCGUAGAUAUGCGGAGGAACACCGAUGGCGAAGGCAAUCCCCUGGGCCUGCACUGACGCUCAUGCACGAAAGCGUGGGGAGCAAACAGGAUUAGAUACCCUGGUAGUCCACGCCCUAAAACGAUGUCAACUGGUUGUUGGGAAGGUUCCUUCUCAGUAACGUAGCUAACGCGUGAAGUUGACCGCCUGGGGAGUACGGCCGCAA
RNAcentral lists this ribosomal RNA (544 nucleotides) under uncultured bacterium. RNAcentral describes it as "partial 16S ribosomal RNA". It matches the Rfam family "Bacterial small subunit ribosomal RNA", at positions 355 to 891 of the family's 1533-position model. The record is from RNAcentral.